Molecule: ribosomal RNA, 253 nt
Filed under: uncultured bacterium
Lineage: Bacteria
Description: partial 16S ribosomal RNA
Rfam family: Bacterial small subunit ribosomal RNA
Source: RNAcentral
UACAGGGGGGGCAAGCGUUAUUCGGAAUUAUUGGGCGUAAAGGGCGCGUAGGCGGCUUUUCAAGUGACGGGUGAAAUCCCUCGGCUUAACCGAGGAACUGCCUGUCAGACUGGAAGGCUUGAGACCGGGAGAGGUGAGUGGAAUUCCCAGUGUAGCGGUGAAAUGCGUAGAUAUUGGGAGGAACACCAGUGGCGAAGGCGGCUCACUGGACCGGAACUGACGCUGAGGCGCGAAAGCGUGGGGAGCAAACAGG